UACGGGGGGAGCAAGCGUUAUUCGGAAUUACUGGGCUUAAAGGGUGCGUAGGCUGCGCGGAAAGUUGGGUGUGAAAUCCCUCGGCUCAACCGAGGAACUGCGCCCAAAACUACCGUGCUCGAGGGAGACAGAGGUGAGCGGAACUUAGGGUGGAGCGGUGAAAUGCGUUGAUAUCCUAAGGAACACCCGUGGCGAAAGCGGCUCACUGGGUCUUUUCUGACGCUGAGGCACGAAAGCUAGGGUAGCGAACGGG
This 253-nucleotide ribosomal RNA is filed under the name uncultured prokaryote. Its description in RNAcentral is "partial 16S ribosomal RNA". It matches the Rfam family "Bacterial small subunit ribosomal RNA", at positions 524 to 776 of the family's 1533-position model. The record is from RNAcentral.